This 43039-nucleotide long non-coding RNA is filed under the name Triticum aestivum (bread wheat). Its description in RNAcentral is "long non-coding RNA (TAES_LNC026205)". The record is from RNAcentral. Lineage: Eukaryota; Viridiplantae; Streptophyta; Magnoliopsida; Poales; Poaceae.
UGAAUAGUUGGUUGGUCUGCUUUGUUUCUGGCUGGAGAUCUCAAGACGGUUUGGUGCGGUCUUGAGUGCGCCGAGCGGACUCGCUAGUCGUAUGAGUAUAUUUCCGUUGUCAGUUUUGGUUGUUGUACUGGUGCUUCUCCAGGGUUUUACCCGCUGAGCUGUAGUAAAAAAAGAAAUAUGUGAUACUGGUAUCUUGUACUAUUAUCAGCUAUAAGUACUAUACACUUCUUGCUCUUUGACAGUUUACUAAAGCAAAACCAAGCCUAUAUCAAUCCUCUGAGGUGUAACUAGUUGCCGUUCUUGCUAGAUCGUGUCUUGGUGAGACAUGACACUUCAUCUUGGUUCUUUUGGAGCUACCUUGGCAGCGCGCGGCGGCACUGCAUCAUGGCGGCGGCUCGCCGCAGCAUCUCCAGCCGGGAGGAGGCGCCGUGCCUGGUGGUUCCGGCGGCGGCAGCGGCAGCAGCAUCCUUGGAUGACUCUGCCCUCAUCCUGGCCUUCUGCGCCCACCCCACCAGCCCCUGCUGGAUGUGAUCGUCGAAGAUCUCCUUCUUGAAGAAGGUCCCCAUCUGUGUCACGAUCGCGUACAGCGGCAGGGUGCUGUAGCUGCACAGCAGCUGGAUGACCACCCUGCAAGCAAAAGCAAACAGCAGCAGUCUUUGAGCCUGAGCCUUAGAAGAAAACAUGGCUGCUUGCUUCUUCUUGGUGAUGAGAGAAGAGUGAAACGACGGAUUGCGACCGACCCGAUGACGAGCCUCGGCACGAUGAAGGGGACGUGGUCCAUGAUGCACGAGUUGAACCCGUAGGUGGUCUUGGAUCGAUCCAGUUGCAACCCAACAGAGACAUCUCAGUUAGUCAUUAGUAGGAGCAUCAAAGAACUGUCCAUGCCCUGAUGCUCUUCUACUGAUACACUUUUGCAGAAGAUGUAGAAUUGCGCGCACCAGCCAGUUCACCCAAAAAGCUCAAGCUGAUGGGAAAAAGAUGGGCUAUGCAUUUAUGCGGCAACAGAAGACACUUACGAGAAUCCAGAAGAAGAGCGCGAUCUCGAAGGCGUUCUGGAAGAGGAUGAAGUGGAUGAGGUAGAGGAUCACCCUGGGUUUACCGCACCAGAAGUACUCGUCGGACGGGUUCACCACCAGGUCGCCCUCGAUCGCCGAGUGCUUCUCCGCGACGUCGUGCGCCAGCUGAGCUAUCACGUGCUCCAGCUUCGUGCCCACGGCCAGCAGGAGCUGCAGGCAGCAGCAGCAACAGCACAAGGAGGCUUACCUACAGAAAUUCACACUUUGACAUGCGUGCUGGGGGGUUCAGGGACACUUACGAUGAGAGGAAGGAAGGAGAUCCAGAAGUAGGUGUGCCAGCCUGCAGGUCAAUCAGCAAGUUGGUAUAUGAUCCUGAGAGCUGCAAUCACUGGAGAUGGCAAUGUGAUUGCAACUUACCAUUGACGUUCAGCAGCAUGAAUAUCACCACGAAUAUCCACAGGUACCACCUAGGUGGAAGCAAGGUUAAGAAAUGAUCAGGCCACUCGGCUGCGCUGCUCAACAACUACUGGUAAAUGAACCCCCAAAACAUAAGAAUUUUCACCUUAUGCCAACCACCUUCUUGAAAUCGGCCUCCAAGGCUCGCACCAUGUAUCUGUGGAAGCCAAAUUUCAGGUUCCCCCGGCAAUGCGUCUGCAGAGAAAAGGAUCUCUUGUUAUUAAUUUUCAUAAAUGAAGAGGGGAUAGAGUGUCAGCGUGCUGUUGAACUAUAUAUCAUCCUUACCAUGAUGAAACCGAGUCGCAUGGUCGCGUAGUCCGAUUUAGUGACCGACGCGUAAAACUGCUUAACAAAAGAAUGCUGAAGGAAUGUUUUGAUUAGUAGGGUAGGUUUAACAAAAAAAAUAUAGAUAUGUGUGUUAGUAUAAAGAGGAUACAUGGUGUUUUGACUGAGAACCGUAUGAUUGAUUAUAUGGGAUGCAUUUUCUUACCAUCCAGCUCAACAUCGUAGACUCCUGGCCAACGCCAUUAAAACGUUCCCUGAUGAAUUCAAAUUGUUGAACGUUGGUCAACUUCUUAGGUCCUGCAGUUGCACAGGAUUGCAUCAGCCAUAACUGGUAUUAAGAAGGCAGCCUGUUUUUCCUUAAAUAUACAUACAUUUCUAGGAUUAAAUUAUUUCUGAAGUAAAGGUAUUUAUUAGAUCAAAAUGUGGAGCAGCAACCGACCGUUUCCUGCAUCGUUUUUAUGAAUUUCAGCCUCCCAGUGUCUCCAUUGGCGAAUCUGCACAAUAGAACCGUGUUCAAGUUAACUUGCAGCCAAAAUUAAUCAUUAGUGUAGUUUAAGAAAAAAGAACAGUGUUAUGAAAGACUACCUUGGCUCCUCCUAAAACCAUGGUCAGAACACUGAAAAUCACAUGGGUGAUAGCCAGAACAAAAAUGAAAAUGUGCAACUGAUGUAACGCUUCGAGUGACAGCAAAGGAACUUUUCCCUGCAAACACAGAAACUGGAGUUAGCACAAGGUUACCUAGGAUCAUUCCAGCAUUGCACAUCUCUUAAGAUGUUGGAAGAACUGGGGAUGAUGUCAUAUAGCAUAUGGAAGUGCAAGGACUAUUGGCUCUUUAUCUUUGUGCGCAUCCACUUUUAAAAUUCAGUGAGCAAGCUAAGAUCUGUAGUUAGCAGCUGGAAAACAUAUACUCCCUCCGAUCCAUAUUAAUUGUCGCUGGUUUUCCACAUCACUUACCUUUAUAAAAGCAUUUAAACAACUAGUAGCUCAAUUAUAAACCUGCAGCAUACUACAUGAAGCAUAGGCGCCAGUGCACUGGCAUGACCUGAAUUAUACUGAAACUGUACGUAUUAUGAACUGCACAAUGAAGCAAGAUGUACUGUUUAAAAACCCAUGGUCCAUCCACCUUGUUCUUGCAAUGGUCGGACCGCGGCACGCUCUUAGGAAGCAGCCGGCGACCGCCGAGAUCGACGACAGAACGCUCCUCCAUCCUCUUGCAGGGCAGCAGGUAGUUGGUCCAGCUAGGGGGAAUGCACGUCCUCUGGAUCACAUCUUGGGACACCGUCAUCAGCAGGGAGAUGAAGCCCAGAAGCAUCAGCUCUGCAUCACCACACCCAAAGACGGUCUGAAACUGGGGGCGUCUCAAGAACAUUUCUUACUGCAAAAUGUUGUUCAUCUUCCCUCUGCUCUGAAGGAAAAGCUGAAUGCUGCCGCACCUUCCUUCACCUUGAGGAGAGCCUCGAAGAGCGCCUUCUGGUGCUUCUUCUUGAGCGUCUGCAUGCAUGCACGCAUGCACUCCAAAUUAGGCGCGUCGAUGCGCGAGAGAUCAUCGGCCGGCGAAACGCCGUUCGGAAACGCGGAGGAGGGCGACGGGGAUCGAGGGUCACCUUGCCGAGGUAAUGGAGGCACCGCUCGGCGGCGAGGGAGACGGUCACGAUGAGGGAGCAGACCCCCGCAACGAUCCACGUCGGCGUGUACUCCAGCGCGUCCACCUCCAGCUCCCCGCCCUCCAUGAUCCCGGUCGCCCGCCCUCCGCCGCCGCCGCCGGCAGGCGAUCGGCCUCACCUUCCGGCCAUCUGGCCGCGAAACGCAGAAGAGACGUCGUGGGCCGCCGCGCCGGUGGAGGUGGAGUCGUGGUUCGCGAUCGGCAGUGUGGGCUUGGUCCGUUCGGACACAGGAGCGCGUUGAUCGUGUUGUCCCGAUCGCUGCACAGCGUGAGCCCACGCGUCCAUGCCACUGUUUGGCGCCCGUGCCGUCCGCGCCGGUGUCCGGCCGCCCGGCCGUUCGCUCGUACGCACGGAGCGCCCGCGUGAUUGGUGUUCGGCCGUGCGAUCCGAUCGAUAGGGGUGUGUGAUCAGGAGCAAUGCUACACCCGAGUAAAUAGCAUAAAACUACUCUCUCUGUUCGAGCUUGUCUCUUAAAUGGGUGUAUCUAGCUUUAACUUGAUGCUAGAUAUAUCUAUUUGAGAGACAAGUUUUUUCAAACGGAGGGUAGUUUAUAGGCUAGGGUUUUAAAAAACUACCAGAUUUUAUUUUUUCUUAGAUAACUACCAAAUGCGUGGUCGGCUGUUUCAAAAAAUCCAAAACGCAGGCAACUAGCGUUUUAACCGUUUUUCUGACCGCCCGAACCCACCGAUCAGGCCACGUGGCCCCGUGCGCUGACGGCGCAGCAAUUGAUGGCCGUUAGGCCGACCGGUCCGGUCAGAACUGGGUAAAUACCCCUCCGUCGGUCGGUCCGUUCCCUGCCCACUCUCCCACUCCCCUGCUCCCACUCCCCUACUUCAGUAUGAGCUCGCCGCCUCUCGCCAUCUUCGAGGCCGGCUGCCGUCGGCCUCCUUGCCGUCAUGCCUUCCUGGAACGACGAGGAAACGAGCUUCGACGAUGACUACGAGGUCGUCAGCAUGGACAUGGGACUUAUGGUAAGUUUACUCCUUGCCACCUAGGGUUAGGGUUAAGUGCUAGUAGGCCUAGGCUACAACCAUGGAUCUUGAUUAGUUUAGGGUUAUUGUUGUCUCUCUCAUAUGGAUCUUGAUUAGUGAGGGCGGGGGUUGGUUGUAGGAUUGAGCUAACUUAGGGUUCAUCUUUGUACAGUGUUAGGGUUCUUGCUGAUUUGGAGAUUUAUUGAUUGUUUAGGGUUAAUGAACAGUGCAAAUUUAUUGUGCUUUUGAGUGGUGAUUGGAACCAGUGUUGUUUUGGUUUUUUUGGUUACAGGAGGAACCAGACACCAUUGUGGAGCCCCUUUUCUGUGAUCAACUUGAGCUUUCUGAACCCAACUGCAUUUUGCACCACAUGAGGCAUGUUAAGUGUGUGGUUUUUGAAGGCACUUUAACAGGAAGGCGUUUCUAUGGCUACCGAGUCCAGGUUAGAUGUCAAUUAUGUUUGUUACAUAUGGAUGUUCAGCAUAGCACAUGAUGCAGCAGUUUGAGUGCAAUUUGUGGAUGAUAUGACAAUGUAACUUGUUAUUUCACUUAUGUUAUUCUUUGUUACUUUGCAAACUUAAUCAUGGCACUGUAAUAACCCUAUCAUAUUUCAGUUAUGUUAUUUAUUGGUAGAAAAUUCCAAGUUAACCAUGACAUUGUAAUAACUAGCCAUUUCUCCACCUCUGAAUGUCCUCCGCCCUCCUCGACGGUAACGCCUUGGCUCAAAGGCACGCCGCCGACGACAUCUGGCUGCGGCGCCGCCAUCGCACCUAGGUCAAAGAGGAGGGAGGGAGGAGGGGGGGGGGGGAGUGAGAGGGAGGAUGGCCCGACCGACACCUUUGGUUCCGACCGGACCGGUCGGCUAACGGCCGUUAACUGCUGCUCCGUCCGCGCGCUGGGCCACGUGGGCUGACCGGUGGGCCCAAUAGGUCAGGGAAACGGUUAAAUCGCUAGUCACUGUGGUUUUGGGUUUUUUAAAACAGCCGACCACACGUUUGAUAGGUCUUUGAGAAAAAUUAAAAUGUGAUAGUUUUUUGAAGCCCUAGCAUGUAAACUAGCAGUUUUAUGCUAUUUACUCCCUACACCCACACAAACUUACGUUUAAGUUUUAUGUAAUUAGCCAUUUGGCAAACUGUGAUUGGGUGUGAGGGUAGGAGGGCCCACCCAACUUAAAGUAGUAGAUAUAGUAUCAUUGGUGUGAUCAGAUCGAUGGGUUUGCCGAGCCAAGCUCAGCCGGAGAAGAAAACGAGCCCACUUUCACAUCCCAUUGGGGUGUGUUUUUUCUAUCGCCCCGAACCCAAAAACUCGAGCUGCACAUCCAUGCGCCAAAUCCUAUAUGGCGCCUUAAGCGCCGGUUUUAGUAUGUUUUGCAAAUCGGCGCACAUCCAGGAGGCGGAGAAGUUCAUCCUGGUUUUGUGAAGCUUCCCAGCCCGGUUUUGUGAAGCUUCUUUAAGCUUCCGUUUUUUUCUAGUUUUCUAAACCAGUUUUUGUUCAGUUUUAUCAUUUUUUUUCAUUUUUCUUCUUUUCAUUUUCUCCUUUUUUCAUCUUCUUUCUUUUUUCAAUUGCGUGAACUUUUAGAUUAAAAACUUAUACAAAUUCAUUAACUUAUUCAUAAAUUGUAAUUUUUUUCUCAACUUUAUGAUUUUUUAAUUUCAUGAAUCCUUUUGAAAUCUGUGAACCUUUUCAGUUCUGCUAACUCUUUUUGUGAACUCUUUCAAAUCUGCGAACUUUUACAGUUUUUGCUAACUUUUUAGUUUUUUUUUAAAUUUAUGGUUUUAUUUCAAAUCCGUGAUUUGUUUUCAGUUUUUGCUAAAUUUUUAUAGUGAACUUUUUUUCAAAUUUAUGUUUUUUCUAAAAAAAUCUUGACUUUUUUCAAAUUCAUGAUUUUUUGGAAUUAACAAACAUUUUUAAAAUUCGUGAACUUUUUCAAUUUUCUAAAUAUUUUCCAAAUCAUGAGCUUUUUUCAAAUUGAUGAAUUUUUUUGAAUUUGGGAACAUUUUUUCGUUCAUGAACUUUUUUCACAGCACAUGCUCACAAGAGAGAGAAAAAACCCUAGCAAGCAUCCCUGCAUAGAAAUGGAUCGAACGAGCACAUCAUGUGAGAACGAAGGAAGAACAGCUAUCGAGCCAGCUAUACGUGACGAUCCACUAGGGGGAGCGCGUGAGCGCCAGUAGUCUUCGUGGCGUUUAAGGCGCCAACCAGGACCUCCCUCUACUAUGCCAGGACUAUAUCUCGCUUCACGCGAGUAUUCUACUACUGGAAAAAGUGCUAGCCAUAACUUUUAUAGAUGGCGUGGCAUUUUACAUCCGCGUCAGCAUUUUUUUUUUCAAAUAGUGUUGCGUAGGCCAAAUCCGUAUGCCAGCUUUACAAGCAUAGUGCUGGCGUUGAUUGUUUUGUAAACGUCACAAAUCUAUUGGCUCAUAUACACUCACCGUUUGGAAACCAAUGAUGAUGUUGGUUUUGUUUGCACGCCAUAAUUAUUUUAUUAGUGUUGGCGUUAUUUUUCUUUGCACACCAUAGUAUAUAAUUACAUUAUAUUUUUUUGCCAUCAUUUUAUUUUGCCCGUGAUUAGCUAUGGCGUUGUCAUUUUAUCCAACACCAACAAUGACCUAGUAAAAUACCUAAGUCCACCGCCCGCUCUCAUUUCACACCCCACCGGGCCCCGUCAUAGCUAGACACAACUCCCGUUGGACCAAAGCCGCUGCCGCCCCCGUCGCCGCCCCGCCGCCGCCCCGUCUCCACCCCCGUCACCGCCGCCGCCCCUCGCCGGCGCCAAGAUUAGAUCCACUCCUCCGUUCACGCGGACACGCCAAACGGCUGGAAAUUGUAGUGACAAUCUUCCGUUGGCGGAUCUGAGCAAGUUUAGUAGAAAUUUAUAGAAUGUGUUAUGUAUAUUCUUCAAAGUUAUCAUUUUAGUUUUCUUUACACAUUUAUGUAUAGGUUGACUGGUAUAUGAAAAUCGAAUAGCUUUGCAUACAGAAGUUAUUCUUAUAUAUGAUCGUAUGCGUAUGCAUAGAAGUCAGUUUGCUAUAUCUUAUUUAUCAAAAUAGAUUCAUAAUUUUAUUUAUUCUACUUAAUUAACAAAAUCAUGUCUUUCCAACACAUGCACUAUUCACUAUAAAAGUAUCUGAUUUUGUUUUGAUACAGCUCACACCAAGUAUUUGAUAAUGAAACUUCACAAAUCAUAUCUUUCCAACACAUGAACUAUUUUAUAUUGCAUAUUAUCUUGAUCAUAUAUAUAUAUACGCGAUGUGUCUGUAGGCCAUGGCCAAUUUUGGAGGCAACAACAAGUCGGUGUGCGAUGUGGACAUGACCAACAAUGAAUUCUUAAACACUUUUGAGUAUGUCAUCAAGAGCGUGCAAGGGGCAAAUGCCGAUCUAAAGGGGAGAUUAAAGAGCUACGCAAGGAUGUUGUUCGGCUCAUUCAGGAGACUAAUCAGUUUAGGGACAAGAGGGAUAAGCUCGUCGAGGAUCGGGAUAAACUGAAGGAGGAUAGGAGACGCCUCAAGGGUGAGAGGAUUGACCUGAAGAUGGACAUAGAUCAUUUCAGAAGAGAAGGAGAAGUAGAUAGAAAGAAGCUGAUGCAACUGGGCAUACUCCUUGCUGAAGAUUAGUUUUUUAAGUAGCUAGCUCAUCUUAUUAGUUGAUGAUGAUUGAGUAACUAGAGUACUUGAGUGAACUUUUGUGAAGUUUAAUAUCAACUUGUUGAGUUCAUGAGCCUCUCUAUGUAAUGAUUAUCUAUUAAGUAAGUACCUAGUGUUGUUGGGGAUCGUUGCAGAAAUUUAAAAUUUUCUACGCAUCACCAAGAUCAAUCUAUGGAGAAACUAGCAACGAGAGUGAGAGGGGAGUGCAUCUUCAUACCCUUGAAGAUCAUGACACGGAAGUGUUACAAGAACGCGGAUGAGGGAGUCGUACUCGUGGCGAUUCAGAUCACGGUUGAUUCUGAUCAAAGCACCGAACAACGGCGCCUCCGCGUUCAACACACGUGCAGCCCGAUGACGUCUCCCAUAACUUGAUCCAGCAAGGAGAGAGGGAGAGGUUGGGGAAGACUUCGUCCAGCAGUAGCACGACAGCGUGGUGGCCUUGGAGAAGCGUGGUACUCCGGCAGGGCUUCGCCAAGCGUCGCGGGAGGAGGAGGUGUUGGGGAGGGGGAGGGCUGCGCCUUGGAUGUGGUGCGGCUGCCCUCCCACCUCCCCUAUAUUUAUAGGGGCAAGGGAGAGGGGGGCCGCCCCCCCUCCAGAUGGAUCUAGNNNNNNNNNNNNNNNNNNNNNNNNNNNNNNNNNNNNNNNNNNNNNNNNNNNNNNNNNNNNNNNNNNNNNNNNNNNNNNNNNNNNNNNNNNNNNNNNNNNNNNNNNNNNNNNNNNNNNNNNNNNNNNNNNNNNNNNNNNNNNNNNNNNNNNNNNNNNNNNNNNNNNNNNNNNNNNNNNNNNNNNNNNNNNNNNNNNNNNNNNNNNNNNNNNNNNNNNNNNNNNNNNNNNNNNNNNNNNNNNNNNNNNNNNNNNNNNNNNNNNNNNNNNNNNNNNNNNNNNNNNNNNNNNNNNNNNNNNNNNNNNNNNNNNNNNNNNNNNNNNNNNNNNNNNNNNNNNNNNNNNNCACCUAGGGGCUGGUUCCCCCCUCCAUAUUCAGCCCAUAGGGCCCUCCAGGGCAGGUGGACCCUCCCGGUGGACCCCCGGAACCCUUUCGGUGGUCCCUGUACAAUACCGAUAAACCCCCAAACACUUCCGACGAUCGAAUAAGGACUUCCCAUAUAUAAAUCUUUGUCUCCGGACCAUUCCGGAACUCAUUGUUACGUCCAGGAUCUCAUCCGGGACUCCAAACAACAUUCUUUAACCACGUACAAACUUUCCCUAUAACCCUAGCAUCAUCGUACCUUAAGUGUGUAGACCCUACGUGUUCGGGAAUCAUGCAGACAUGACCGAGACAUCUCUCCAGCCAAUAACCAACAACGGGAUCUGGAUACCCAUGUUGGCUCCCACAUGUUCCACGAUGAUCUCAUCGGAUGAACCACGAUGUCGAGGAUUCAAUCAAUCUCGUAUACGAUUCCCUUUGUCUACCGGUAUAGCACUUGCCCGAGAUUCGAUCGUCGGUAUACCGAUACCUUGUUCAAUCUCGUUACGGCAAGUCUCUUUACUAGUUCCGUAACACAUCAUCCCGUGACCAACCCCUUAGUCACAUUGAGAUCAUUACGAUGAUGUCUUACCGAGUGGGCCCAGAGAUACCUCUCUGUCAUACGGAGUGACAAAUCCCAGUCUCGAUUCGUGCCAACCCAACAGACACUUUCGGAGAUACCCGUAGUGCACCUUUAUAGCCACCCAGUUAUGUUGUGACGUUUGGCACAACCAAAGCAUUCCUAGAGUAUUCGGGAGUUGCACAAUCUCAUGGUCUAAUGAAAAGAUACUUGACAUUAGAAAAGCUUUAGCAGACGAACCACACGAUCUUGUGCUAUGCUUAAGAUUGGGUCUUAUCCAUCACAUCAUUCUCCUAAUGAUGUGAUCCCGUUAUCAAUGACAUCCAAUGUCCAUGGUCAGGAAACCGUAACCAUCUAUUGAUCAACAAGCUAGUCAACUAGAGGAUCACUAGGGACAUGUUGUCGUCUAUGUAUUCACACAUGUAUUACGAUUUCCGGAUAACACAAUUAUAGCAUGAACAAUAGACAAUUAUCAUGAACAAGGAAAUAUAAUAAUAAUAACCCUUUUAUUAUUGCCUCUAGGGCAUAUUUCGAACAGUCUCCCACUUGCACUAGUGUCAAUAAUCUAGUUACAUUGUGAUGAAUUGAACACCCAUAGAGUUCUGGUGUUGAUCAUGUUUUGCUCCAGGAAGAGGUUUAGUCAACGGAUCUGCGACAUUCAGGUCCGUAUGCACUUUACAAAUAUCUAUGUCUCCAUUUUGAACAUUUUCACGAAUGGAGUUGAAGCGACGCUAGAUAUGCCUGGUCUUCUUGUGAAACCUGAGAUCCUUGGCAAGGGCAAUAGCUCCAGUGUUGUCACCGAAUAGAGUCAUCGGGCCCGACGCAUUGGGAAUAACUCCUAGGUCGGUAAUGAACUCCUUCCUCCAGAUUGCUUCAUGUGCUGCCUCCGAGGCUGCCAUGUACUCCGCUUCACAUGUAGAUCCCGCCACGACGCUUUGCUUGCAACUGCACCAGCUGACUGCCCCACCAUUCAAAAUAUACACGUAUCCGGUUUGUGACUUGGAGUCAUUCAGAUCUGUGUUGAAGCUAGCAUUGACGUAACCCUUUACGACGAGCUUUUCGUCACCUCCAUAAACGAGAAACAUAUCCUUAGUCCUUUUCAGGUACUUCAGGAUAUUCUUGACUGCUGUCCAGUGUUCCAUACCGGGAUUACUUUGGUACCUUCCUACCAAACUUACGGCAAGGUUUACAUCAGGUCUGGUACACAGCAUGGCAUAUAUAAUAGACCCUAUGGCCGAGGCAUAGGGGAUGACACUCAUCUUCUCUCUAUCUUCUGCCGUGGUCGGGCAUUGAGCCGUGCUCAAUCUCACACCUUGCAAUACAGGCAAGAACCCCUUCUUGGACUGAUCCAUAUUGAACUUCUUCAAUAUCUUGUCAAGGUAUGUGCUUUGUGAAAGACCAAUGAGGCGUCUCGAUCUAUCUCUAUAGAUCUUGAUGCCUAAUAUGUAAGCAGCUUCUCCAAGAUCCUUCAUUGAAAAACACUUAUUCAAGUAGGCCUUUAUGCUUUCCAAGAAUUCUAUAUCAUUUCCCAUCAAUAGUAUGUCAUCCACAUAUAAUAUGAGAAAUGCUACAGAGCUCCCAUUCACUUUCUUGUAAACACAGGCUUCUCCAUAAGUCUGCGUAAACCCAAACACUUUGAUCAUCUCAUCAAAUCGAAUGUUCCAACUCCGAGAUGCUUGCACCAGCCCAUAGAUUGAGCGUUGGAGCUUGCACACCUUGUCAGCAUUCUUAGGAUUGACAAAACCUUCUGGCUGCACCAUAUACAGUUCUUCCUUAAGGAAGCCAUUAAGGAAUGCCGUUUUGACGUCCAUUUGCCAUAUCUCAUAAUCAUAGAAUGCGGCAAUUGCUAACAUGAUUCGGAUGGACUUCAGCUUUGCUACGGGUGAGAAAGUCUCAUCGUAGUCAACCCCUUGAACUUGUCGUAACCCUUAGCGACAAGCCGAGCCUUAUAGAUGGUCACAUUACCAUCCGCGUCUGUCUUCUUAUUAAAGAUCCAUUUGUUUUCUAUGGCUCGCUGGUCAUCGGGCAAGUCAGUCAAAGUCCAUACUUCGUUUUCAUACAUGGAUCCUAUCUCGGAUUUCAGGGCUUCAAGCCAUUUGUCGGAAUCCGGGCCCGCCAUCGCUUCUUCAUAGUUUGAAGGUUCACCAUUGUCUAACAACAUGAUUUCCAGGACAGGGUUGUCGUACCACUCUGGUGCGGAACGUGUCCUUGUGGACCUACGAAGUUCAGUAGCAACUUGAUCUGAAGUUUCAUGAUCAUCAUCAUUAACUUCCUCUCUAGUCGGUGCAGGCACCACAAAAAGAUUUUCUUGAGCUGCGCUACUCUCCGGUUCAAGAGGCAACACUUCAUCAAGUUCUACUUUCCUCCCACUUACUUCUUUCGAGAGAAACUCUUUCUCUAGAAAGGAUCCAUUCUUGGCAACAAAGAUCUUGCCUUCGGAUCUGAGGUAGAAGGUAUACCCAAUAGUUUCCUUAGGGUAUCCCAUGAAGAUGCAUUUUCACGAUUUGGGUUCGAGCUUUUCAGGUUGAAGUUUCUUAACAUAAGCAUCGCAUCCCCAAACUUUCAGAAACGACAGCUUAGGUUUCUUCCCAAACCAUAAUUCAUACGGUGUCGUCUCAACGGAUUUCGGCGGAGCCCUAUUUAAAGUGAAUGUGGUAGUCUCUAAAGCAUAUCCCCAAAAUGACAGUGGUAGGUCGGUAAGAGACAUCAUAGAUCGCACCAUGUCCAACAGAGUGCGAUUAUGACGUUCAGACACACCAUUACGCCGAGGUGUUCCAGGCGGCGUGAGUUGUGAAACAAUUCCACAUUUCCUUAAGUGCGUGCCAAAUUCGUGACUCAAAUAUUCUCCCCCCCACGAUCUGAUCGCAAGAACUUUAUUUUCCUGUCACGUUGAUUCUCUACCUCAUUCUGAAAUUCCUUGAACUUUUCAAAGGUCUCAGACUUGUGUUUCAUUAAUUAGACAUAUCCAUAUCUACUCAAGUCAUCUGUGAGGUUGAGAACAUAACGAUAGCCACCGCGAGCCUCAACGCUCAUUGGACCGCACACAUCAGUAUGUAUGAUUUCCAAUAAGUUGGUUGCUCGCUCCAUUGUUCCUGAGAACGGAGUCUUGGUCAUUUUUCCCAUGAGGCAUGGUUCGCACGUGUCAAAUGAUUCAUAAUCAAGAGACUCCAAAAGUCCAUCUGCAUGGAGUUUCUUCAUGCGUUUGACACCAAUGUGACCAAGGCGGCAGUGCCACAAGUGUGUGGGACUAUCAUUAUCAACCUUACACUUCUUGGUAUUCACACUAUGAACAUGUGUAACAUCACGUUCGAGAUUAAACAAGAAUACACCAUUAACCAGCGGGGCAUAACCAUAAAACAUAUCUCUCAUAUAAAUGGAACAACCAUUAUUCUCGGAUUUAAAUGAGUAGCCAUCUCGCAUUAAACGAGAUCCAAAUACAAUGUUCAUGCUCAAAGCUGGUACUAAAUAACAAUUAUUGAGGUUUAAAACUAACCCCGUAGGUAAAUGUAGAGGCAGCAUGCCGACGGCGAUCACAUCGACCUUGGAACCAUUCCCGACGCGCAUCGCACCUCGUCCUUCGCCAGUCUCCACUUAUUCUGCAGCUCCUGUUUUGAGUUACAAAUAUGAGCAACUGCACCGGUAUCAAAUACCCAGGAGCUACUACGAGCGCUGGUUAGGUACACAUCAAUAACAUGUAUAUCACAUAUACCUUUGGCAUUGCCGGCCUUCUUAUCCGCUAAGUACUUGGGGAAGUUCCCCUUCCAGUGACCGUUUCCCUUGCAAUAAAAGCACUCAGUCUCAGGCUUGGGUCCAUUCUUUGGCUUCUUCCCGGCAGCUUGCUUACCAGGCGCGGCAACUCCCUUGCCGUCCUUCUUGAAGUUCUUUUUACCCUUGCCUUUCUUGAACUUAGUGGUUUUAUUCACCAUCAACACUUGAUGUUCCUUUUUGAUCUCCACCUCCACUGAUUUCAGCAUUGAAUAUACCUCAAGAAUGGUCUUUUCCAUCCCCUGCAUAUUGAAGUUCAUCACAAAGCUCUUGUAGGUAGGUAGAAGCGACUGAAGGAUUCUAUCAACGACCGCGUCAUCCGGGAGAUUGACUCCCAGCUGAGACAAGCGGUUGUGCAACCCAGACAUUUUGAGUAUGUGCUCGCUGACAGAACUGUUCUCCUCCAUCUUACAACUGUAGAACUUGUCAGAGACUUCAUAUCUCUCGACUCGGGCAUGAGCUUGGAAAACCAUUUUCAGCUCUUGGAACAUCUCAUAUGCUCCGUGUUUCUCAAAACGCUUUUGGGGCCCCGGUUCUAAGCUGUAAAGCAUGCCGCACUGAACCAGGGAGUAAUCAUCACUACGCGACUGCCAGGCGUUCAUAAUGUCUUGAGUUGCUAGGAAAACAGGUGCGUCACCUAGCAGUCCUUCAAGGACAUAUGCUUUCUUGGCAGCUAUGAGGAUAAUCCUCAGGUUAUGGACCCAGUCCGUGUAGUUGCUGCCAUCGUCUUUCAGCUUGGUUUUCUCUAGGAACGCGUUGAAGUUGAGGGCAACAUUAGCAUGGGCCAUUUGAUCUACGAGACAUAUUGCAAAGUUUUAGACUAUGUUCAUGAUAAUCAAGUUCACCUAAUCAAAUUAUUUAAUGAACUCCCACUCAGAUUGACAUCCCUCUAGUCAUCUAAGUGAUAUAUGAUCCGAGUCAACUAGGCCGUGUCCGAUCAUCACGUGAGACAGACUAGUCAUCAUCGGUGAACAUCUUCAUGUUGAUCGUAUCUUCUAUACGACUCAUGUUCGACCUUUCGGUCUUCCGUGUUUUGAGGCCAUGUCUGUACAUUCUAGGCUCAUCAAGUCAACCUAAGUGUAUUACGUGUGUAAACCUGGCUUACACCCGUUGUAUGCGAACGUUAGAACCUAUCACACCCGAUCAUCACGUGGUGCUUCGGAACAAUGGACCUUAGCAACGGUGCACAGUUAGGGGGAACACUUUCUUGAAAUUAUUGCGAGGGAUCAUCUUAUUUAUGCUACCGUCGUUCUAAGCAAAUACGAUGUAAAACAUGAUAAACAUCACAUGCAAUCAAAUAGUGACAUGAUAUGGCCAAUAUCAUUUUGCUCCUUUUUGAUCUCCAUCUUCGGGGCGCCAUGAUCAUCAUCGUCACCGGCAUGACACCAUGACCUCCAUCAUCAUGAUCUCCAUCAUCGUGUCUUCAUGAAGUUGUCUCGCCAACUAUUACUUCUACUACUAUGGCUAACGGUUAGCGAUAAAGUAAAGUAAUUACAUGACAUUUAUGUUGACACGCUGGUCAUAAAUAAAUUAAGACAACUCCUAUGGCUCCUGCCAGUUGUCAUACUCAUCGACAUGCAAGUCGUGAUUCCUAUUACAAGAACAUGAUCAAUCUCAUACAUCACACAUAUCAUUCAUCACAUCCUUUUGGCCAUAUCACAUCACAUGGCAUAUGCUGCAAGAACAAGUUAGACGUCCUCUAAUUGUUAUUGCAAGUUUUUACGUGGCUGCUAUAGGUUUCUAGCAAGAACGUUUCUUACCUACGGCAAAACCACAACGUGAUAUGCCAAUUUCUAUUUACCCUUCAUAAGGACCCUUUUCAUCGAAUCCGAUCCGACUAAAGUGGGAGAGACAGACACCCGCUAGCCACCUUAUGCAACUAGUGCAUGUCAGUCGGUGGAACCAGUCUCACAUAAGAGUACGUGUAAGGUCGGUCCGGGCCGCUUCAUCCCACGAUGUCGCUGAAUCGAGAUAAGACUAGUAAUGGCAAGUAAAUUGACAAAAUCGACGCCCACAACAACUUGUGUUCUACUCAUGCAUAGAAACUACACAUAGACCUAGCUCAUGAUGCCACUGUUGGGGAUCGUUGCAGAAAUUUAAAAUUUUCUACGCGUCACCAAGAUCAAUCUAUGGAGAAACUAGCAACGAGAGUGAGAGGGGAGUGCAUCUUCAUACCCUUUGUCGGUGUCAAAACCGGCGGAUCUCGAGUAGGGGGUCCCGAACUGUGCGUCUAAGGCGGAUGGUAACAGGAGGCAGGGGACACGAUGUUUACCCAGGUUCGGGCCCUCUUGAUGGAGGUGAUACCCUACGUCCUGCUUGAUUGUUCUUGAUGAUAUGAGUAUUACAAGAGUUGAUCUACCACGAGAUCAAAGAGGCUAAACCCUAGAAGCUAGCCUAUGGUAUGAUUGUAUGUUGUCCUACGGACUAAAACCCUCUGAUUUAUAUAAACACCGGAGGGGGCUAGGGUUACACAAGGUCGAUUACAAAGGAGGAGAUAUACAUAUUCGUAUUGCCUAGCUUGCCUUCCACGCCAAGUAGAGUCCCAUCCGGACACGGAACGAAGUCUUCAAACUGGUAUCUUCAUAGUACAACAGUCCGGCCAAAGGAUAUAGUCCGGCUGUCCGGAGACCCCCUAAUCCAGGACUCCCUCAGUAGCCCCUGAACCAGCUACAAUGACGAUGAGUCCGGCGCGCAGUGUUGUCUUCGGCAUUGCAAGGCGGGUUCCUCCUCCGAAUACACCAUGGAAGAGUUUGAAUACAAGGACAGUGUCCGACCCUGCAAAAUAAGUUCCACAUACCACUGUAGAGAGAAUAAUAUUUCCACAAAUCUAAUCUGCUGACACGUUUUGACAGCAUGAAAUCACGCCAUGACCCGGUCAUCAUUCGAACCGUUUCUCUCAACCAGCUCCGCACAUAAUGCGAGACGGUUUUCUUGACACGUCUUGUCAAAGCAGAGAUCGUGUCCCCCUUAUCACGGGAUUCUCAUCAAUACAAACGUGGGUAACCCAACCGUGCCUGUUGGUAUGACUCCUAGAUCUUAGGCAAGUCCCAAAUGGACACAAGGAGGACGCCUGAUAUUCACCCUCUUUAUAAUGGGGACGAGGCUUUUUCUUUUUUCCCUCCCGUGCUCAAUCGAAUCCUUCCCCCGCCUCGAGUUCUAACACCCAAAGCUCAGGUCAGGUGCUUCAGACCUUCAACUAUGUCCGGAUCCAACCUUCAAGGUCGGUGGAUGCCUUCCUCCGUCACAGAGGAGGACAUCAAGAAGUUGAGGGAGGCCAGAUAUCUGACCGCCGAAAUUUCGCAUAGGCUGCCCGCCCGAGGGCAGGUCGUCCCUAUUCCCGAACCCAACGAGAGCGGUGCGUUCGUCUCCCACUUCCUCCGAGGACUAGGCCUCGCUCUAGAUCCCUUUGUUAGGGGUCUUAUGUUCUAUUACGGGCUGGAUUUUCAUGAUCUGGGCCCGUAUUCCCUUCUUCACAUCUCGUCAUUUAUUGUCGUGUGUGAGGCCUUCCUCCCCAUUACCCCUCACUUCGGCCUGUGGCUCAAGACUUUCGAUGUGAAGCCGAAGAUGAUCGAGGGGCAGCAUGCAUCGUGCAAAGGUGCUUUAAUAAGCAAAAUCGCUGACGCUCCAUGGCCAGAGGGUUCCUUCCCAGAGGUGUCUGGAUUAUGGCAGAGGGAGUGGUUUUACAUCACAGCUCCCCGAAGUGCCAAGUGGGUAGCUGCCCCCAUCUUUCACUCGGGCCCCCACCACAACUGAUGUCAUGGAUCAGCAGGGGGCUGAGCUGGGGUCCAGCCAAGGACGUGCCAAUACCGCAGAGCCGUAUCCGAGAUCUCUUUGAGGGAGAUUUCAGUCUGGUUAUGGUAAUGCAAGUUAUGCUAGUUCGUUGAGUCCAACCUUGCAAACGCCGGCCCCUCCGCAUGUGGGAAUUCAACCCGGAAGGACCGCGAGUUAUUUAGCAUUUCCUCGGCAUGAUGCAUGAAGAGAUGUAUAGAUCGUUCUUCAGACCCCAAGUAGAGUGUCCGGACACCACCGAGGACAUGGGCCUGAGCUGCAACCGCCCCGCUGCCCAAGUAAGUAAUCCCAUGUCGAACUUGCUGUCCUUUUAUUUAUCAUGGCAUCAUUCUAAAGAGCCGCUCUUUGACCAUGACUGAAUAACAAAGGCGAUGAUGAUCAGGUGUUCGGUCCCCCUUCCCGAGGGCUUGGACAUUCCGGUAUUGGACAAGAUGCUCAAGCCGGCGCCUUAUCCAGUGCCCUCGAAGGAAGAUGAUGGGGGGGGGGGAAUAAAGAGGGCGAAAGCGGGCCUCACUUGCUACUCAUUCCAGCCGGGGGGAUAAGCACCUCCGCGAGGAGGACAAUCAAAGGGAAGAAUCUGACAUUCUCUCUCCCCGGGGAAGGAAGAGGACUACCUCUGAAGAUCCGGAAACUAAGGUUUCCAAACAAGAGAAGAAAUCUUCAUCAGAGGGUCCUGCCUCGGAGGGUAUUCUUGCCGCACAGUGUAUGCGCGGAGAUCAACCCUCUACCGAGUUGUAAGUAAUCGAAAAGUACUUUAAUAAAGGAAAUAUUCUACCUUACUUCCUAAGACAAUAACCAGUGCUUAUAAAUUGUAGUCCGGACCAUAGCCCGUCUCGACAGAGUUCGUCUUCGGGGGAUAUUCUUCCGGAGAUGAUGGAGAGCGAAACGCCUCCCCCCGACACCCCGCCUCACGAAGCAGGCGACCUUGAAGUGUCGUCGCAAAGGGUAUCUCCGGAUCCACUCAGGCCGGAGGAUAACCCUUUGGCUACCCGGGAUUCCCAGUAUCCGGCUCCUAAAGAGAGUGACAACAAGGGUCCGUACAGUGUGCGGUCGGACGCGCUGAAGGAUCUUCUGGGGCAAGCGGCCGUCUUGGAAGCGCAUCGUAUGCUAAUGGGUAUGGUAAUUGAAAGGAUUUCAUCCGCUGAAAGCGGUUUGCAUGAAGCCUUUAUGAGUCUGCUAAAAGGCUUCAAGGUACGUGAAAUAGUGUAUGUUUUUGAUAGUACCGCAUACAUUAGGUGUGCCCUUUACAUAUAGUAGCCCCUGAGACUCUGGUUGUCGUCGAAAACGGCAGCAAACAGAGGAUCAUAGUCCUAGGUAAUAACCAGACCGCCUUUAUGUGGAGGUGGCUGAAGCUCCGGUGGCUAGCCGGACUGAUGGGUUUGCCGAGCUAAAGCGGCAACUUGAUGCGGCAGACGCCGACAUCGUGCUUGUCAACAAGCGGCUUGAUGAGGUACAGGGUGAGUGAUUUCUCUGGUGAUCGUCACAUAAUAAGAGUAGCAUGAUGCCAGUAUCUUUAAUAUGUUGUGUGAUUGUAGAUGGAGCUGCCACCGUGGAGACCCUUCGGGCGGAGCUUGCCCGAGCCAAGGAGCAAGCAAGGAGUAGCAAUGCGGCCGCUCUAAAGGCGGCCAAAGAGUUAAGGGCCGAACGGGCCGCGCAUUGCGAGAGCAAGGAAAAACUAGCCAAGAUGGCUGUAGAGUUAAAAGAUGCCGCUGACCGUUACCAACUUCUUGAAGAAGAAAAGCGGGCGAAGGCGACGGACCUGGAGAAGGCUCUGGUGGCUGCCAAGGAAGCCCGCUCCAAAAUUAGAGCGAUGAAGGAGGAGCUGAAUCAAGCUUCAGAUAUCGUGUCUGGGAAGCCCUUCUUAUUGCGGACUAAGUUCGGAGAUCCGAAGUAUGCUCCUCUGGACCGGUUAUGGAGUUCUGUGGAUGCCUACAUGGAUCCGGCUGCAAGUGCUGCUGAUGCGGCCGAGUACUUCAAGGAUCAGAAAGGUCCCGAAGUGGAAAAGCUGUUCUGGUCACAGUUUCAUGCUCCAGUUCGUCCGCUGCUGUUGAAUGAGUGAUUGGCCGAGUGGGCCGAGCUCCAUAGGUUGUUCGGACUUGCCAUGAGGUCCGUUGUGGAUCACCUGUGGCCGGGAGGGCCAAGGCCGAAUAGCUACUUUAGUUUAGUGCAACAAUUCCUUGGUACUGUGCCACACAUCGAUGCUGUAAAGAGAUCUGCGUGCAUAGAGGGUGCACGGAUGGCCUUUGCCCGUGUCAAUACAUACUGGGCGGAGAUGGAGGCCACCACUGUUGCGACACAGGGUUCGGCCGUAGGCCGAGUGGCUGCCGAGCACUACUUUGAAGAAGUUCUUGAAGGCGCUCGUUCGAUAGAGACUCAGUGCUCGAAGAAUAUUAUGUUCUAGUGGCAUGUAUUCCCAUUGUAAAAACAAUGUUUUAUUGACUUAUCAAGGCUUUAUUUAUACUUUUGCCCGAAAGUACUAUGAUGCAUGCAGUGCGGCCGUUUAUGUAUAUAUGUAUAUAACCUGAAAGUUUGUAGUCGUCGGCUUCCGCCCCCACGCAUAUAAUGCGGGGGUGUUCGCAAAAAAUGCGUAUCCACACUUGAUCCAACAUCUUGGUCCGUUAAGGAAGUGGUAGCGCAGCGAACGAGGCAAUCGGACUAUAUUGCUUUAACACUUUCACUUAGCCAUAGGAGUUUGACAAUGGGGCUACUAUAUAGCCCCUGGUACUUCUGCGCUAGUCCGAAUACGGGGCGCGUACGUACAUGACCGGGAAACGACCCUUCGUUAAUGCGGAGGAAUCCCGAAGAUUCCGAUGAGUCAUCGAGUGGUUGACCAGUCUCUCGCUAUAUCAUGACAGUCAGUUUUCGGCUUUCUCUACUGAGGUGCUCAUCCGGAUGAACCAUGGCACAAUCGCAGUAGUUCUCUCAGUGCUACCUUAGCCGAUAUAACGGAACGCAAGGUACCAAAACGUGGGAGCCGGGCAAACCCAACAUUUUACCAAAGACAUGAUUCGGAGCUGAUGCAUAUAGGGCCAAACUCGCGACGCCGAACACUCCCUAAGGUGUUCGGUCUUUAUAACAUAUACCGGGCUAAACAAUGCCCUUAAUAAGAAACCCCAUGUGUCCAAGUACGUGCAAAAUCCCGGCGUGGCCACAUGCCAAUAACGCUAGCAUCCUUCUCGGUUGUGCGGAGUAUCCGGAGGAUAUGAGCAACAAGAGACAGUAAAAAAGGUUUACACAGGGUCUUAAUCUAAAAAGAAACCUUUGGGCGGGUCCCUACUGCAUGUCUGCGCUUGUGUCUCCGUUGUGCCAUGUCCUGGACGGGUGUAGCAUGAUUAUCAUCUGUAAAAGGAAAGAACUUAGGUGAAAGUUGCCGUGCCAAAAAAAGGAAGAAUUGGUUAUUAUCAAUGAACUAUCAAAAUUCAGGAGAAGUCAAGUUGAGCCGGGCUGACCCUGAUUACACGCGGAGAGCCCCUGGUACCGUUUAUGAGGGUUUGACCAUCAAACCCGUCUCAUGUAUAUGUGAUGGAACGCCGGACUCGUCUAACUAUGUCUGUGGUCUUGACGACCUGCCAUUUUUUCUGGUUGGUGAGGCCGUCUAGUUCGCGGCUGUUAGAGCCACCACGUCCUCUUCCGUACGUAAAAAGCGUUUGGUAUUUCCGCUAACUGUGAUGAUGCCACGUGGACCGGGCAUCUUGAUCUUGAGAAAAGCGUAAUGCGGUAUUGCAUUAAAACGAGCGAAAGCCGCCCUUCCGAGUAGUGCUUGAUAAUCACUUUGGAAUGGAGCGAUGUGAAAAGUUAACGUUUCGCUUAGGAAGUUAUCGGGAGAACCGAAUACCACCUCUAGUAGUAGAGAGCCCAUACAGCGGGCCUCUUGGCCUGGUAUUACUCCCUUGGAGGUAGUAUUACUGUGGCUUAUUUGUGUCGGGUCUAUCCCCAUUUUGCGGACUGUGUCCUGAUAUAUCAGAUUUAGAUCACUGCCGCCGUCCAUGAGGACUCGUGUGAAAUGGUGCCCAUUUAUGAUUGGGUCUAACACCAAGGUCGUUAGUCCUUCGCGCCGGAUAUUAGUGUCGUGAUCCCUACGAUCAAAAGUGAUCGGGCAGGCCAACCAGGGGUUGAACCUAGGGGCGACGGGCUCUAUGGCUCGUGUGCAUCGGAGUGCAUGAUUGCUUCUCCUCUUUGUCACAUGGAUCAUGUUUACGGUUUUAACCUCUGGCGGGAACUUUUUUUGUCCUCCGGCGCUUUGCUGGCGAGGUUCAUCCUCGUCUUUGCUUGGUGUCCCUUCCCCUUUGUGUUCGGCGUUUAGCUUACCAGCAUGCUUGAAGACUCAACAUUCUCUGUGGGUAUGAUUUGCAGGUUUGUUUGGGGUGCCGUGAAUCUGACAGAGUUUGUCAAGAAUUUUGUUUAGGCCAAAUUGUCCUUCUCUGCUGCCUUUGAAAGGCUUUUUCCACUGACCUGGUCGGGAGCCCCUGAAUCGGCGUUUACCGCCGUGUUAUCUGGGCUACCUUCUUUAUUUCGACGCUUGUUUUUGUUGCGUCGUGGUUUACCAUUGCCAUCCCUAAAUUGGAUGUGCUUGGGUCGCUGGUGCUGCUACAGGCCAACCAGCUGUCCUCGCCCGCACAAAAGCGGGUCAUGAGGCUUGUUAGGGCUGCCAUCGUUCUUGGUUUUUCUUGCCCGAGGUGUCUGGCGAGCCAUUCGUCUCGGAUGCUGUGUUUAAAAGCUGCUAAGGCUUCGGCGUCCGGACAGUCGAUGAUUUGGUUCUUCUUGGUGAGGAACCUGUUCCAAAGCUUUCGGGCAGGCUCUACGGACUAUUGGACUAUAUGACUUAAAUCGUCUGCAUCCGGAGGUCGGACAUAAGUCCCUUGAAAAUUGUCCCGGAAAGCGUCCUCGAGCUCCUCCCAACUUCCAAUUGAAUUUUGGGGAGGCUUUUGUAACGCCCUCGAUGCGGCUAUAUCUCCCACGUGUCGAAGCACGACUUAGAGGCAUAACCGCAUUGAAAGAAAUGUCGCAAGUGAGGUAAUCUUCACACAACCCAUGUAAUACAUAAGGGAAAGAGAUACAUAGUUGGCUUACAAUCGCCACUUCACACAAUUACAUGAAUAAAGCAUUACAUCAUCCGGAUACAAUCAAGGUCCGACUACGGAACCAAAAUAAAAGAAGACUACCCCAAAAGCUACACAGAUCCCCGGUCGACCCCAACUGGGCUCCACUACUGAUCAACUAGAACGAAACAACAUAAAGGACAAGAUCUUCAUCGAGCUCCUCCUUGAGCUUGGUUGCGUCAUCUGCACGGUUCAACAGUAGCUGCAAGCUGGUUUUGGAAGUAUCUGUGAGUCACGGGGACUCAGCAAUCUCACACCCUCGCGAUCAAGACUAUUUAAGCUUAUAGGUAAGGAAAUGGUAUGAGGUGGAGCUGCAGCAAGCGACUAGCAUAUAUGGUGGCUAACAUACGCAAAGAGAGCGAGAAGAGAAGGCAAGGCACGGCCGAGAAUCUAUGAUCAAGAAGUGAUCCUAGAACAACCUACGUCAAACAUAACUCCAACACCGUGUUCACUUCCCGGACUCCACCGAGAAGAGACCAUCACGGUUACACACGCGGUUGAUGUAUUUUAAUUAAGGUCAACUUUAGGUUUUCUACAACCGGACAUUAACAAAUUCCCAUCUGCCCAUAACCGCGGGCAUGGCUUUCAAAAGUUCAAAUCCUUGCAGGGGUGUCCCAACUUAGCCCAUCACAAGCUCUCACGGUCAAUGAAGGAUAUUCCUUCUCCCAAGACAAUCCGAUCAGGCUCGGCAUCCAGGUUACAAGUCAUCCUCGACAAUGGUAAAACAAGUCCAGCAACACCGCCCGAAUGUGCCGACAAAUCCCGAUAGGAGCUGCACAUAUCUCGUUCUCAGGGCACACUCAGAUGAGACUAGCUACGAGUAAAACCAACCCUCAAGUUUCCCCGAGGUGGCCCCGCAGGCAGCUCGGUUCGGACCAGCACUUAGAGAAGCACUAGCCUCCGGGGGGGGGGGCGGGGGGUUAAAAUAAAGAUGACCCUUGAGUCUGCAGAACCCAAGGGAAGGUGAUAGGUUGUUAGUGCAAAUGGUAAAACCAAGGUUGGGCAUUCCUGGAGGAGUUUUAUUCAAGACGAACUGUCAAGGGGUUCCCAUUAUAACCCAACCGCGUAAGGAACACAAAAUCCGGGAACAUAACACCGGUAUGAUGGAAACUAGGGCGGCAAGAGUGGAACAAAACACCAGGCAUAAGGCCGAGCCUUCCACCCUUUACCAAGUAUAUAGAUGCGUUAAUUAAAUAAGAGAUAUUGUGAUAUCCCAACAAAAUAUCCAUGUUCCAAACAUGGAACAAGCUCCAAUCUUUACCUGCAACUAACAACGCUAUAAGAAGGGCUGAGCAAAGCGGUAACAUAGCCAAACAAUAGUUUGUUAGGACAAGGUGGGUUAGAGGCUUGGUUCAACAAUAUAGGAGGCAUGAUAAGCAAGUGGUAGGUAUCGCAGCAUAGGCAUAGCAAAAGAGCGAGCAACUAGCAAGCAAAGAUAGAAAUGAUUUCGUGGGUAUGGUCAUCUUGCCUGAGAUCCCGCAAGGAAGAAGAACGAGUCCAUGAAGAAGACAAACGGACAUAGUCGAACGGGUCCUCACAAACUCGACGUUAACAGAACCAACCCGAAGAAGCAACACCGGAACGAAGCACACAACAUAGUAAACAACCAACACACGAACAUGGUAUGAUAUGCGGGAUGCGGUAUGCGAUGCAUAUGCAUGAUUUGCAAAGGAAUGAUUGAAACUGGCCUCAACUUGGAUAUCCAAGAGUGCCACUGGAAAGGUGAGAUGAUUUCGGUUGAAAUCGAUAUAAAGAUCACCAGAAUCGGAUGCACGGUUUGGAAAUGGCAAGCAAAACAAAUAUGGCACCGGUCUGCGAUAAUCAACAAGUAGCCAUCUAAAUGCAACAAGAUAAAUAUGCUACAGCACUCAAACAUGACAACAAAAUACAUGCUAGGGAUCCACUCAUGAAGCUUGACAAAAGAUGAACACUGAACUACGGCUAAUUCAUCCAUUAACAGGUUCAACCAAGCAUGGCAAAAGAGCAAAUGAUAACAGGUUUCAGACUUAGUGAAAUCAACACAAGUCUGGAAUUUAUCAUCAGGAAGCAAUCUUUAGAGCAUGAAAAAUACAUGCUACAGAAAAAUAUCAUGGCAAAGCAAGGCAUGGCAUGAAGCUAUUUUAAGAACUUAACAAAAGUCCCUUAGUGACCUUGAGCCAAAAGGGAUUAGAGAAUACAAUUGUAAGCAUGUGAACAUGGCAAAAAUAUAAACAGAUUCAGACUUAGCGAAAAAACUGGAGCAUGCAAAACAGUUAACGAGUAGGCAUGUUGACGAGCUUGAUGCACUCACUACAAGGCAUGGCAUGACAAACUAAGCAUAUACCCAUCAAUAAGACAUGUCAUAGGAGCUAGACAUGGCAAGAACAACAACAUAGCAUACAUGGAUCAAUAGCAACAACCUCGGCAAAAUCGCUAAACAAGUUAACAAUCUUCCAGGAACAUUUUAUAGCAAAAGUAGAGCUCGAUUGACUCAAGCUAGGGUGCUCCAUAAAUACAAACAAAGACAUGGAUGGAUAGCGCACCACAAUGUUAACAAAUCAUCCUUACUGAUCAUCCUCAAAAAAGGCACGGAUCACUAGGAAACAUCAUGAACAUAUGGCAUAACGACAAAAUCAGGACAAGGACUUAAUAAAAUUCUAAGUCCCUGAAAUCAACAUUACCGAUUACGCUACUUUGCAAGCUUGUGCUAGUCACCACAAAUAUCACAAAAAUACAUGGCAAGCACCUCUGUAAAGAUGGCAUGAUAUAUAACAAAACUCAUGUAGUGCACAGGAUCAUAUCAUGCACACAUUAAUCAUGGCAAAAAUGACAAAAGGCUAUUUGCUGAAACAGAUCUGGCAAAUUCAUCACAUAGCCCUCUUCCAACAGCAUUUCGGGCAUCAAGAUGAGCUCAAAUGAAAAUGAUGCAAGAGACGAAAUGAUAUACUCGUCGAGACGAACAUUUUGAUAUGCUACAUGCACGAAUUGGAGCUACGGAUGCAGAGUUAUGACAUGCCAAAGUAUGCAAAAAUAAUUAGGGUUUCUGGGGGAAAAGUCAACCAUGACUUGAAUCUGGAUCUGGAGGCACGCAAUCCGAGGAGAUCGCCGGAGAGGAAAACGAGGUCGCUGGAGAUCGAGGGAGGUGGCCGGAGCCGGGGUGCGGCCGGUGAGCUCCGACGAGCGUCGCGGGGCCGGCGGCAAGGAGGGGCAGGCGAGGCGCGAGCGCCAUGGCGGCGGCGGCNNNNNNNNNNNNNNNNNNNNNNNNNNNNNNNNNNNNNNNNNNNNNNNNNNNNNNNNNNNNNNNNNNNNNNNNNNNNNNNNNNNNNNNNNNNNNNNNNNNNNNNNNNNNNNNNNNNNNNNNNNNNNNNNNNNNNNNNNNNNNNNNNNNNNNNNNNNNNNNNNNNNNNNNNNNNNNNNNNNNNNNNNNNNNNNNNNNNNNNNNNNNNNNNNNNNNNNNNNNNNNNNNNNNNNNNNNNNNNNNNNNNNNNNNNNNNNNNNNNNNNNNNNNNNNNNNNNNNNNNNNNNNNNNNNNNNNNNNNNNNNNNNNNNNNNNNNNNNNNNNNNNNNNNNNNNNNNNNNNNNNNNNNNNNNNNNNNNNNNNNNNNNNNNNNNNNNNNNNNNNNNNNNNNNNNNNNNNNNNNNNNNNNNNNNNNNNNNNNNNNNNNNNNNNNNNNNNNNNNNNNNNNNNNNNNNNNNNNNNNNNNNNNNNNNNNNNNNNNNNNNNNNNNNNNNNNNNNNNNNNNNNNNNNNNNNNNNNNNNNNNNNNNNNNNNNNNNNNNNNNNNNNNNNNNNNNNNNNNNNNNNNNNNNNNNNNNNNNNNNNNNNNGAAGGAGAGAGAGGGAGGAGGCCGGCUGACAUGGUGGCACGCUGUUGGAGGAGAGCGGCGGCGGGGCGAUGUGGCAUCUCCUGAUUCGCCGGAGUGAGGUGGAGGCUGGACGCGUCCGGCGGCGCGGGGAGGUGGAAGACUAGGGUUUCGUCCGCGAAAAUGAACGGGGUGCACAUAUUUAUAGGUAGAGGGAGCUAGGAGAGUCCAAAUGAGGUGCGGUUUUCGGCCACGCGAUCGUGAUCGAACGACCGAGAUGAUGGAGGGGGUUUAGGUGGGUUUUGGGCCACUUUGGAAGGGUGUUGGGCUGCAACACACACGAGGCCUUUUCGGUCCCUCGGUUAACCGUUGGAGUAUCAAACGAAGUCCAAAUGGCACAAAACUUGACAGGCGGUCUACCAGUAGUAAACCAAGGCCGCAUGACAAGUCUUGGUCCAAUCCGAAAAUGUUUAACACCCGCACACGAAAAGAGGUAGAAAGGGACACCGGGUGACAUAGGAGCGCCGGAUUGCAAAAACGGACAACGGGGAAAAUGCUUGGAUGCCUGAGAUGAACAUGUAUGCAAAUGAAAUGCACAUGAUGACAUGGUAUGCAAUGCAUGACACGCAAGCAAUGACAAGGAAACAACAGCAAAUAACUGGAGGACACCUGGCACAUCGGUCUCGGGGCGCUACAACUUUUCAGCCAGUGCCGAGCUGGCCCUUUAAGCUUGAGGGGCAAGUAUUUAAUGGCAUGGAGAUCGUCUCCAUGAGUUUUAUGAAUAUGGAGGAUGAAGUCCUCUAUCCAGACUCCAGGGUCCGUGGUCUCGUCGUACGCCUCUAUGUUCACCGGUUUGAAUCCCUCUGGGAAUUCAUGAUCCAGCACUUCAUCGGUGAAACAUAGGGGGUGUGCGGCACCCCUGUAUUGGGAUGUGCCAUGAUGUUCGGACGGUUGUAGUAUUCGGUUUUGGUUUUGUACCAGAGUGUGCUUCCUAGAUCCGUAGAUGGAUCUAGUCACGCCGGAUUUUUGGCGCAAGUUCUCACAUUGAUCAUGUGUUGGCUUAUGCGCGACCUUGUUAGCCGCUCUAUCGCGCUCACAAGUUUGUGGAUCCGGCCGGUUGGCCGUAUCAUUCUUCGGCUGUGUGGGCUGUAAGGCCUCAUCGUCGAAUUCCGGUAAUAGCUUGCGCUUUGGAUAUCUAUUUUUAUGGUAGCUUCCACCAUACUUUGUUACUUUGUUCCACCUGCUGUUGAGCAUAUCUUGUGCUACCUUGAGCCUUUGCUUCUGUUUCUUCAGGCUCCUCGCUGUGGCAAUAAGCCUUCUGCGGAGGUUCUCUUGCUCCAAGUGUGUUUUCGGCAUGAUGCGUGCAUCUUCGUCAAGACUGCUUUCUUCCCCAGACGGGGUUUGAUGAGGCUUAUCCUUGGCAUCAUCGUGUUCGGACAUCGGAUCCGUACUAUGUUUGCAGUUUGCAUCUUGAUCGUUUUCUGCCACCGGGGUGGUGCAGUUGAUGUUUCUUCCAGAGUCGAGCGGACUAUUAUUCUCUCUUGCGCUGUUAUCGCUGUUUUUGCUAUGGCGGGACUUAGAGCGGCGCCACUAACGUUGGCGCUUGGGUUGCAUGUGAAGGAAAUAUGCCCUAGAGGCAAUAAUAAUGUUAUUAUUUUAUUUCCUUAUAUCAUGAUAAAUGUUUAUUAUUCAUGCUAGAAUUGUAUUAUCCGAAAACAUAAUAUACUUGUGUGAAUACAUAGACAAACUAAAUGUCACUAGUAUGCCUCUACUUGACUAGCUCGUUAAUCGAAGAUGGUUAUGUUUCCUCACCAUGAAAAAAAGAGUUGUUAUUUGAUUAACGGGAUCACAUCAUUAGAAGAAUGAUGUGAUUGACAUGACCCAUUCCAUUAGCUUAGCACCCGAUCGUUUAGUAUGUUGCUAUUGCUUUCUUCAUGACUUAUACAUGUUCCUAUGACUAUGAGAUUAUGCAACUCCCAUUUGCCAGAGGAACACUUUGUGUCCUACCAAACGUUACAACGUAACUGGGUGAUUAUAAAGGAGCUCUACAGGUGUCUCCAAAGGUAAAUGUUGGGUUGGCGUAUUUCGAGAUUAGGAUUUGUCACUCCGAUUGUCGGAGAGGUAUCUCUGGGCCCUCUCGGUAAUGCACAUCACAUAAGCCUUGCAAGCAUUGCAACUAAUGAGUUAGUUGUGAGAUGAUGUAUUACGAAACGAGUAAAGAGACUUGCCAGUGACGAGAUUGAACUAGGUAUUAAGAUACCGACGAUCGAAUCUCGGGCAAGUCACAUACCGAUGAUAAAGGGAACAACAUACAUUGUUAUGCGAUCUGACCGAUAAAGAUCUUCGUAGAAUAUGUGGGAGCCAAUAUGAGCAUCCAGGUUCCGCUAUUGGUUAUUGACCGGAGACAUGUCUCGGUCAUGUCUACAUUGUUCUCGAACCCGUAGGGUCCGCACGCUUAAGGUUUCGAUGACAGUUAUAUUAUGAGUUUAUGAGUUUUGAUGUACCGAAGUUAGUUCGGAGUCCCGGAUGUGAUCACGGACAUGACGAGAAGUCUCGAAAUGGUCGAGACAUCAAGAUUGAUAUAUUGGACGACUAUAUUCAGACACCGGAAGUGUUCCGGGUGAUUUCGGAGAAAACUGGAGUGCCGGAGGGUUACUGGAACCCCCCGGGAGAAGUAAUGGGCCUUAUGGGCCUUAGUGGAGAGAGAGGGGCAGCCAGGGUGGGCCGCACGCCUCCUCCCCUGGUCCGAAUUGGACUAGGAGAGGGGGGGGGGGCGGCGCCCCCCUUUUCCUUCUCCCUCUCCCCCUUCCUUUCCCCCUGCUAGUAGGAGUAGGAAAGAGGGGAGUCCUACUCCUACUAGGAGGACUCCUCCUCCUUGACGCGCCAUAGGGCCGGCCGACCUCCUCCCCUUGCUCCUUUAUAUACGGGGGCAGGGGGCACCCCUAGACACACAAGUUGAUCAACGUGAUCGUUUUCUUAGGCGUGUGCGGUGCCCCCUUCCAUCAUAAUCCUCGAUAAUAUUGUAGCGGUGCUUAGGCGAAACCCUGCGACAGUAGAACAUCAAGAUCGUCACCACACCGUCGUGCUGACGGAACUCUUCCCCGACAAUUUGCUGGAUCGGAGUCCGGGGAUCGUCAUCGAGUUGAACGUGUGCUAAAACUCGGAGGUGCCGUAGUUUCGGUGCUUGAUUGAUCGGGCCGUGAAGACAUACGACUACAUCAACCGCGUUGUCAUAACGCUUCCGCUGUCGGUCUACAAGGGUACGUAGAUCACACUCUCCCCUCUUGUUGCUAUGCAUCACCAUGAUCUUGCGUGUGCGUAGGAAAAUUUUGAAAUUGCUACGUUCCUCAACAGUGGUAUCAGAGCCAGGUUUUAUGUGUUGAUGAUAUAUGUACGAGUAGAACACAAGUGAGUUGUGGGCGAUAUAAGUCAUACUACUUACCAGCAUGUCAUACUUUGGUUCGGCGGUUUUGUUGGACGAAGCGGCCCGGACCGACAUUACGCGUACGCUUACGCGAGACCAGUUCUCCCGACGUGCUUUGCAGAAAGGUGGCUAGCGGGUGUCAGUUUCUCCAACUUUAGUUGAACCGAGUGUGGCUACGCCCGGUCCUUGCGAAGGUUAAAACAGCACCAACUUGACAAACUAUCGUUGUGGUUUUGAUGCGUAGGUAAGAUUGGUUCUUGCUUAAGCCCGUAGCAGCCACGUAAAACUUGCAACAACAAAGUAGAGGACGUCUAACUUGUUUUUGCAGGGCAUGUUGUGAUGUGAUAUGGUCAAGACAUGAUGCUAAAUUUUAUUGUAUGAGAUGAUCAUGUUUUGUAACCAAGUUAUCGGCAACUGGCAGGAGCCAUAUGGUUGUCGCUUUAUUCUAUGCAAUGCAACUGCGCUGUAAUGCUUUACUUUAUCACUAAGCGGUAGCGAUAGUCGUGGAAGCAUAAGAUUGGCGAGACGACAACGAUGCUACCAUGGUGAUCAAGGUGUCGCGCCGGUGACGAUGGUGAUCAUGAUGGUGCUUCGAAGAUGGAGAUCACAAGCACAAGAUGAUGGCCAUAUCAUAUCACUUAUAUUGAUUGCAUGUGAUGUUUAUCUUCUAUGCAUCUUAUCUUGCUUUGAUUGAGGGUAGCAUUUUAAGAUGAUCUCUCACUAAUUAUCAAGAAGUGUUCUCCCUGAGUAUGCACCGUUGCAAAAGUUCUUUGUGCUGAGACACCACGUGAUGAUCAGGUGUGAUAGGCUCUACGUUCAAAUACAACGGGUGCAAAACAGUUGCACACGCGGAAUACUCAGGUUAUACUUGACGAGCCAAGCAUAUACAGAUAUGGCUCAGAACACAGAGACCGAAAGGUCGAGCGUGAAUCAUAUAGUAGAUAUGAUCAACAUAGUGAUGUUCACCAAUGAAACUACUCCAUCUCACGUGAUGAUCGAACAUGGUUUAGUUGAUUUGGAUCACGUAAUCACUUAGAGGAUUAGAGGGAUGUCUAUCUAAGUGGGAGUUCUUUAGUAAUAUGAUUAAUUAAAGUUAAAUUUAUCAUGAAGUUAGUACCUGGUAGUAUCUUGCUUGCUUAUGUUUGAUUGUAGAUAGAUGGCCCGUGCUGUUGUUCCGUUGAAUUUUAAUGCGUUCCUUGAGAAAGCAAAGUUGAAAGAUGAUGGUAGCAAUUACACGGACUGGGUCCGUAACUUCAGGAUUAUCCUCAUUGAUGCACAGAAGAAUUACGUCCUGGAAGCACCACUGGGUGCCAGGCCUGCUGCUAGAGCAACACCAGAUGUUAUGAAUGUCUGGCAGAGCAAAGCUGAUGAUUACUCGAUAGUUCAGUGUGCCAUGCUUUACGGCUUAGAAUCGGGACUUCAACGACGUUUUGAACGUCAUGGAGUAUAUGAGAUGUUCUAGGAGUUGAAGUUAUUUCAAGCAAAUGCCCGGAUUGAGAGAUAUGAAGUCUCCAAUAAGUUCUAUAGCUGCAAGAUGGAGGAGAACAGUUCUAUCAGUGAGCAUAUACUCAAAAUGUCUAGGUAUAAUAAUCACUUGAUUCAAUUGGGAGUUAAUCUUCCAGAUGAUUGCGUCAUUGAUAGAAUUCUCCAAUCACUGCCACCUAGCUACAAGAGCUUCGUGAUGAACUAUAAUAUGCAAGGGAUGAAUAAGACUAUUCCCGAGCUCUUCGCUAUGCUGAAAGCUGCGGAGGUAGAAAUCAAGAAGGAGCAUCAAGUGUUGAUGGUCAACAAGACGACUAGUUUCAAGAAAAAGGGCAAAGGGAAGAAGAAGGGGAACUUCAAAAAGAACAACAAGCAAGUUGCUGCUCAAGAUAAGAAACCCAAAUCUGGACCUAAGCCUGAAACUGAGUGCUUCUACUGCAAGCAGACUGGUCACUGGAAGCGGAACUGCCCCAAGUAUUUGGCGGAUAAGAAGGAUGGCAAGGUGAACAAAGGUAUAUGUGAUAUACAUGUUAUUGAUGUGUACCUUACUAAUGCUCGUAGUAGCACCUGGGUAUUUGAUACUGGUUCUGUUGCUAACAUUUGCAACUCGAAAUAGGGACUACGGAUUAAGCGAAGAUUGGCUAAGGACGGGGUGACGAUGCGCGUGGGAAAUGGUUCCAAAGUCGAUGUGAUCGCGGUCGGCAUGCUACCUCUACAUCUACCUUCAGGAUUAAUAUUAGACCUAAAUAAUUGUUAUUUGGUGCCAGCGUUAAGCAUGAACAUUAUAUCUGGAUCUUGUUUGAUGCGAGACGGUUAUUCAUUUAAAUCAGAGAAUAAUGGUUGUUCUAUUUUUAUGAAUAAAAUCUUUUAUGGUCAUGCACCCAUGAAGAAUGGUCUAUUCUUAUUAAAUCUCGAUAGUAGUGACACACAUAUUCAUAAUGUUGAAGCCAAAAGAUGCAGAGUUGAUAAUGGUAGUGCAACUUAUUUGUGGCACUGCCGUUUAGGUCAUAUCGGUAUAAAGCGCAUGAAGAAACUCCAUACUGAUGGACUUUUGGAACCACUUGAUUAUGAAUCACUUGGUACUUGCGAACCGUGCCUUAUGGGUAAGAUGACAAAAACACCAUUCUCUGGUACUAUGGGGAGAGCAACAGAUUUAUUGGAAAUCAUACAUACAGAUGUAUGUGGUCCGAUGAAUGUUGAGGCUCGUGGCGGAUAUCAUUAUUUUCUCACCUUCACAGAUGACUUAAGCAGAUAUGGGUAUAUCUACUUAAUGAAACAUAAGUUUGAAACAUUUGAAAGGUUCAAAGAAUUUCAGAGUGAAGUUGAAAAUCAUCGUAACAAGAAAAUAAAAUUCCUACGAUUUGAUCGUGGAGGAGAAUAUUUGAGUUACGAGUUUGGUGUACAUUUGAAACAAUGUGGAAUAGUUUCGCAACUCACGCCACCCGGAACACCACAGCGUAAUGGUGUGUCCGAACAUCGUAAUCGUACUUUACUUGAUAUGGUGCGAUCUAUGAUGUCUCUUACUGAUUUACCGCUAUCGUUUUGGGGUUAUGCUCUAGAGACGGCCGCAUUCAUGUUAAAUAGGGCACCAUCAAAAUCCGUUGAGACGGCGCCUUAUGAACUGUGGUUUGGCAAGAAACCAAAGUUAUCGUUUCUGAAAGUUUGGGGCUGCGAUGCUUAUGUGAAAAAACUUCAACCUGAUAAGCUCGAACCCAAAUCGGAGAAAUGUGUCUUCAUAGGAUAUCCAAAGGAAACUAUUGGAUGCACCUUCUAUCACAGAUCCGAAGGCAAGACUUUUGUUGCUAAAUUCGGAAACUUUCUAGAGUAGGAGUUUCUCUCGAAAGAAGUGAGUGGGAGGAAAGUAGAACUUGAUGAGGUAACUGUACCUGCUCCCUUAUUGGAAAGUAGUUCAUCACAGAAAUCAGUUUCUAUGACACCUACACCAAUUAGUGAGGAAGCUAAUGAUGAUGAUCAUGAAACUUCAGAACAAGAUACUACUGAACCUCAUAGAUCAACCAGAGUAAGAUCCACACCAGAGUGGUACGGUAAUCCUGUUCUGGAAGUCAUGCUACUAGAUCAUGAUGAACCUACGAACUAUGGAGAAGCGAUGGUGAGCCCAGAUUCCGCAAAAUGGCUUGAAGCCAUGAAAUCUGAGAUGGGAUCCAUGUAUGAGAACAAAGUAUGGACUUCGGUUGACUUGCCCAAAGAUCGGCAAGCAAUUGAGAAUAAUUGGAUCUUCAAGAAGAAGACUGACGCUGACGGUAAUGUUAUUGUCUACAAAGCUCGACUUGUCGCAAAAGGUUUUCGACAAGUUCAAGGGAUUGACUACGAUGAGACCUUCUCACCCGUAGCAAUGCUUAAGUCUGUCCGAAUCAUGUUAGCAAUUGACGCAUUUUAUGAUUAUGAAAUUUGGCAGAUGGAUGUCAAAAUUGCAUUCCUGAAUGGAUUUCUGGAAGAAGAGUUGUAUAUGAUGCAACCGAAAGGUUUUGUCGAUCCAAAGGGAGCUAACAAAGUGUGCAAGCUCCAGCGAUCCAUUUAUGGACUGGUGCAAGCCUCUCGGAGUUGGAAUAAACGCUUUGAUAGUGUGAUCAAAGCAUUUGGUUUUGUACAGACUUUUGGAGAAGCCUGUAUUUACAAGAAAGUGAGUGGGAGCUCUGUAGCAUUUCUGAUAUUAUAUGUAGAUGACAUAUUACUAAUCGGAAAUGAUAUAGAAUUUCUGGAUAGCAUAAAGGGAUACUUGAAUAAGAGUUUUUCAAUGAAAGACCUUGGUGAAGCUGCUUACAUAUUGGGCAUUAAGAUCUAUAGAGAUAGAUCAAGAUGCUUAAUUGGACUUUCACAAAGCACAUACCUUGACAAUUUUUUUUGAAGAAGUUCAAAAUGGAUCAAGCAAAGAAAGGAUUCUUGCCUGUGUUACAAGGUGUGAAAUUGAGUAAGACUCAAUGCCCGACCAAUGCAGAAGAUAGAGAGAAAAUGAAAGAUGUUCCCUAUGCUUCAGCCAUAGGCUUUAUCAUGUAUGCAAUGCUGUGUACCAGACCUGUUGUGUGUCUUGCUAUAAGUCUAGCAGGGAGGUACCAAAGUAAUCCAGGAAUGGAUCGCUGGACAGCGGUCAAGAACAUCCUGAAAUACCUGAAAAGGACUAAGGAUAUGUUUCUCAUAUAUGGACGUGACAAAGAGCUCAUCGUAAAUGGUUACGUUGAUGCAAGCUUUGACACUGAUCCGGACGAUUCUAAAUCGCAAACUGGAUACAUGUUUAUAUUAAACGGUGGAGCUGUCAGUUGGUGCGGUUCUAAACAAAGCGUUGUGGCGGGAUCUACAUGUGAAGCGGAGUACAUAGAUGCUUCGGAAGCAGCAAACGAAGGAGUCCGGAUGAAGGAGUUCAUAUCCGAUCUAGGUGUCAUACCUAGUGCAUCGGGUCCAAUGAAAAUCUUUUGUGACAAUACUGGUGCAAUUGCCUUGGCAAAGGAAUCUAGAUUUCACAAGAGAACCAAGCACAUCAAGACACGCUUCAAUUCCAUCCGGGAUCUAGUCCAGGUGGGAGACAUAGAGAUUUGCAAGAUACAUACGGAUCUGAAUGUUGCAGACCCGUUGACUAAGCCUCUUCCACGAGCAAAACAUGAUCAGCACCAAAGCUCCAUGGGUGUUAGAAUCAUUACUGUGUAAUCUAGAUUAUUGACUCUAGUGCAAGUGGGAGACUGAAGGAAAUAUGCCCUAGAGGCAAUAAUAAUGUUAUUAUUUUAUUUCCUUAUAUGAUGAUAAAUGUUUAUUAUUCAUGCUAGAAUUGUAUUAUCCGGAAACAUAAUACUUGUGUGAAUACAUAGACAAACUAAACGUCACUAGUAUGCCUCUACUUGACUAGCUCGUUAAUCGAAGAUGGUUAUGUUUCCUAACCAUGAACAAAAGAGUUGUUAUUUGAUUAACGGGAUCACAUCAUUAGAAGAAUGAUGUGAUUGACAUGACCCAUUCCAUUAGCUUAGCACCCGAUCGUUUAGUAUGUUGCUAUUGCUUUCUUCAUGACUUAUACAUGUUCCUAUGACUAUGAGAUUAUGCAACUCCCGUUUGCCGGAGGAACACUUUGUGUGCUACCAAACGUCACAACGUAACUGGGUGAUUAUAAAGGAGCUCUACAGGUGUCUCCAAAGGUAAAUGUUGGGUUGGCGUAUUUCGAGAUUAGGAUUUGUCACUCCGAUUGUCGGAGAGGUAUCUCUGGGCCCUCUCGGUAAUGCACAUCACAUAAGCCUUGCAAGCAUUGCAACUAAUGAGUUAGUUGUGAGAUGAUGUAUUACGAAACGAGUAAAGAGACUUGCCGGUAACGAGAUUGAACUAGGUAUUAAGAUACCGACGAUCGAAUCUAGUCACAUACCGAUGACAAAGGGAACAACGUACGUUGUUAUGCGGUCUGACCGAUAAAGAUCUUCGUAGAAUAUGUGGGAGCCAAUAUGAGCAUCCAGGUUCCGCUAUUGGUUAUUGACCAGAGACAUGUCUUGGUCAUGUCUACAUUGUUCUCGAACCCGUAGGGUCCGCGCACUUAAGGUUUCGAUGACAGUUAUAUUAUGAGUUUAUGAGUUUUGAUGUACCGAAGUUAGUUCGGAGUCCCGGAUGUGAUCACGGACAUGACGAGGAGUCUCAAAAUGGUCGAGACAUAAAGAUUGAUAUAUUGGACGACUAUAUUCGGACACCGGAAGUGUUCCGGGUGAUUUCGGAGAAAACCGGAGUGCCGGAGGGUUACCGGAACCCCCUCGGGAGAAGUAAUGGGCCUUAUGGGCCUUAGUGGAGAGAGAGAGGGGAUCGUCACCAUGCCGUCGUGCUGACGGAACUCUUCCCCGACACUUUGCUGGAUCGGAGUCCGGGGAUCGUCAUCGAGCUGAACGUGUGCUAAAACUCGGAGGUGCCGUAGUUUCGGUGCUUGAUCGAUCGGGCCGUGAAGACAUACGACUACAUCAACCGCGUUGUCAUAACGCUUCUGCUGUCGGUCUACAAGGGUACGUAGAUCACACUCUCCCCUCUCGUUGCUAUGCAUCACCAUGAUCUUGCGUGUGCGUAGGAAAAAUUUGAAAUUACUACGUUCCUCAACAGCUUGGAGGGUGCAUCCCCCGCUGUCUCUUCGCCAUUGCCCUCUCUGGGUGUAUCCACCAUGUAUACGUCAUGUGAUGAAGUGGUGGUCCGGCGCCCUGUGGGCGGUGGUUCCUGUUUGUCUCCGGCAUCGUCGUCCAUACCGUCGAUGUCUUCGGAGUUGAAGUCGAGCAUGUCGGUUAAGUCAUCAACAGUGGCUACUAAGUGGGUGGUGGGUGGGCAGUGAAUUUCUUCGUCGUCCGCAUCCCAUUCUGGCCGGACAUAGUUCGGCCAAGGUUCUCUUGACAAGGAGAGAGACCUAAAUGAAUUUAGCACAUAUCCGAAAGGUGAGUGCUGAAAGAUAUCCACGGGGGUGAACUCCAUGAUCGGCGCCCAGUCGGACUCGACGGGCAUGAAUGUGAGCGGCUCAGAGUCCGUGGCCGGAGAUUAAUCCCAUGGUUCGGUGACACGGCUCUCGUAAGGGGUGAAGUCAGUGUUUGGCUCUAUCGCGACUGAGAGUGCAGCCUCCAUGGAGGGUCUAUCCCUCCGCUCUCGGAUGGCGCGAUUUGCUCCGGGAUAACGGCCGGAGUAGUUGCGGAUGCGAUCUCCCGAACACUGUCCGACGGCAGAGUUAUGUCAUGCUCGUUGCGACUGUGCGGCGCGUCCGGCAUGGGCUCGAAUCCGUCAAAGAUCAAGUCUCCACGAAUGUCGGCCGUGUAGUUCAAGUUUCCAAAUCUGACCUGAUGGCCAGGGGCGUAGCUUUUGAUUUGCUCCAGAUGGCCAAGCGAAUUGGCCCGUAGUGCGAAGCCACUGAAUACGAAGGUCUGUCCGGGGAGGAAAGCCUCACCCUUGACCGCAUCGCUAGCGAUGAUCGAAGGAUCCAUCAAGCCUUAUUGUGACGACACAGUGGAACUCUCAAUGAAAGCACCAAUGUCGGUGUCAAAACCGGCGAAUCUUGAGUAGGGGGUCCCGAACUGUGCGUCUAAGGUGGAUGGUAACAGGAGGCAGGGGACACGAUGUUUACCCAGGUUCGGGCACUCUUGAUGGAGGUGAUACCCUACGUCCUGCUUGAUUGUUCUUGAUGAUAUGAGUAUUACAAUGUUGGAAAUAUGCCCUGGAGGCAAUAAUAAAAUGGUUAUUAUUUUAUUUCCUUGUUCAUGAUAAUUGUCUAUUGUUCAUGCUAUAAUUGUGUUAUCCGGAAAUCGUAAUACAUGUGUGAAUACAUAGACGGCAACAUGUCCCUAGUGAGCCUCUAGUUGACUAGCUCGUUGAUCAAUAGAUGGUUACGGUUUCCUGACCAUGGACAUUGGAUGUCAUUGAUAACGGGAUCACAUCAUUAGGAGAAUGAUGUGAUGGACAAGACCCAAUCCUAAGCAUAGCGCAAGAUCGUGUAGUUCGUCUGCUAAAGCUUUUCUAAUGCCAAGUAUCUUUUCCUUAGACCAUGAGAUUGUGCAACUCCCGGAUACUGUAGGAAUACUUUGGGUGUGCCAAACGUCACAACGUAACUGGGUGACUAUAAAGGUGCACUACGGGUAUCUUCGAAAGUGUCUGUUGGGUUGGCACGAAUCGAGACUGGGAUUUGUCACUCCGUACGACGGAGAGGUAUCUGAGGGCCCACUCGGUAAGACAUCAUCGUAAUGAGCUCAAUGUGACUAAGGGUUGGUCACGAGAUGAUGUGUUACGGAACGAGUAAAGUGACUUGUCGGUAACGAGAUUGAACGAGGUAUUGGGAUACCGACGAUCGAAUCUCGGGCAAGUAACGUACCGAUUGACAAAGGGAAUUGUAUACGGGAUUGUUUGAAUCCUCGACAUCAUGGUUCAUCCGAUGAGAUCAUCGUGGAAGAUGUGGGAGCCAACAUGGGUAUCCAGAUCCCGCUGUUGGUUAUUGGCCGGAGAGUUGUCUCGGUCAUGUCUGCAUGGUUCCCGAACCCAUAGGGUCUACACACUUAAGGUUCGAUGACGCUAGGGUUAUUAGGAAGACUUGUAUGUGAUUACAGAAUGUUGUUUGGAUUCCCGGAUGAGAUCCCGGACAUCACGAGGAGUUCCGGAAUGGUCCAGAGGUGAAGAUUUAUAUAUAGGAAGUUGUCAUACGGUCACCGGAAAGGUUCAGGGGCAUAUCGGUAUUGUACCGGGGCCACCGGAGGGGUUCCAGGGGUCCACCGGGGGGGGCCACCUCUCUCGGAGGGCCUCAUGGGCCGUAGAGGAAAGGGAACCAGCCCCAAGUGAGCUGGGCGCACCCCCCUUGGGCCCAUGCGCCUAGGGUUGGGGGGGGGGGAAACCCUAGAGGGGGCGCCCCCCUUGCUUGGGGGCAAGCCACCCCUUGGCCGCCGCCCCCCUCUAGAUCUCAUCUAGAGGGGGCCCGCCCCUUCCUCCUUCCCCUAUAAAUAGAGGGGAAAGGGGAGGGUUGCAGAACACAUCAAAGGUGCAGCCCCUCCCCUCCCCAACACCUCUCCUCCUGUGUUAAGAGCUUGGCGAAGCCCUGCCGGAGUACUGCCGCUCCACCACCACCACGCCGUCGUGCUGCUGUUGGAGCUCUCUUCCUCAACCUCUCCCUCCUCCUUGCUGGAUCAAGGCCCGGGAGACGUCUCCGCUCCGUAUGUGUGUUGAACGCGGAGGUGCCGUCCGUUCGGCGCUAGGAUCAUCGGUGAUUUGGAUCACGUCAAGUACGACUCCAUCAACCCCGUUCUCUUGAACGCUUCCGCUCGCGAUCUACAAGGGUAUGUAGAUGCACUCUUCUCCCUCUCGUUGCUAGAUGACUCCAUAGAUUGAUCUUGGUGAUGCGUAGAAAAUUUUAAAUUUUUGCUACGAUCCCCAACAUACAAGAGUUGAUCUACCACGAGAUCAAAGAGGCUAAACCCUAGAAGCUAGCCUAUGGUAUGAUUGUAUAUUGUCCUACGGACUAAAACCCUCCGGUUUAUAUAGACACUGGAGGGGGCUAGGGUUACACAAGGUCGGUUAGAAAGGAGGAGAUAUACAUAUCUGUAUUGCCUAGCUUGCCUUCCACGCCAAGUGGAGUCCCAUCCGGACACGGGACGAAGUCUUCAAACUUGUAUCUUCAUAGUCCAACAGUCCGGCCAAAGGAUAUAGUCCGGCUGUCCGGAGACCCCCUAAUCCAGGACUCCCUCACCCUUGAAUAUCACGACACAGAAGUGUUACAAGAACGCGGAUGAGGGGUUCGUACUCGUGGUGAUUCAUACCACGGUUGAUUCCGAUCAAAGCGCCGAACAACGGCGCCUUCACGUUCAACACACGUGCCGCCCGAUGACGUCUCCCACGCCUUGAUCCAGCAGGGAGAGAGGGAGAGGUUGGGGAAGACUCCGUCCAGCAGCAGCACGACGGCGUGGUGGUGUUGGAGAAGCGUGGUACUCCGGCAGGGCUUUGCCAAGCGUCGCGGGAGGAGGAGGAGGUGUUGGGGAGGGGGAGGGCUGCGCCUUGGAUCUGGUGUGGCUGCCCUCCCACCUCCCCUCUAUUUAUAGGGGCAAGGGAGAGGGGGCCGGCCCCCUCCAGAUGGAUCUAGAGGGGGGCGGCGGCCAAGGGGGGCAGGCUUGCCCCCUAAGCCAAGGGGGGCGCCCCCUUUAGGGUUCCCCAAACCCUAGGCGCAUCGGCCCUAGGGGGUUUGGUGCCCAGCCCACCUAGGGACUGGUUCCCCCUCCAUAUUUAGCCCAUAGGGCCCUUCGGGGCAGGUGGACCCUCCCGGUGGACCUCCGGAACCCUUUCGGUGGUCCCGGUACAAUACCGAUAAACCCUCGAACACUUCCGGCGAUCGAAUAAGGACUUCCCAUAUAUAAAUCUUUGUCUUCGGACCAUUCUAGAACUCCUUGUUAUGUCUAGGAUCUCAUCCGGGACUCCUAACAACAUUCGGUAACCACGUACAAACUUUCCCUAUAACACUAGCGUCAUCGAACCUUAAGUGUGUAGACCCUAUGGGUUCGGGAAUCAUGUAGACAUGACCGAGACAUCUCUCCAGCCAAUAGCCAACAGCGGGAUCUGGAUACCCAUGUUGGCUCCCACAUGUUCCACAAUGAUCUCAUCGGAUGAACCACGAUGUCGAGGAUUCAAUCAAUCCCGUAUACGAUUCCCUUUGUCUACCGGUAUAGCACUUGCCCGAGAUUCGAUGGUCGGUAUAUCGAUACCUUGUUCAAUCUCGUUACGACAAGUCUCUUUACUCGUUCUGUAACACAUCAUCCCAUGACCAACCCCUUAGUCACAUUGAGCUCAUCACGAUGAUGUCUUACCGAGUGGGUCCAGAGAUACCUCUCCGUCAUACGGAGUGACAAAUCCCAGUCUCGAUUCGUGCCAACCCAACAGACACUUUUGGAGAUACCCGUAGUGCACCUUUAUAGCCACCCAGUUACGUUGUGACGUUUGGCACACCCAAAGCAUUCCUACAGUACCGGGAGUUGCACAAUCUCAUGGUCUAAGGGAAAGAUACUUAACAUUAGAAAAGCUUUAGCAGACAAACCACACGAUCUUAUGCUAUGCUUAAGAUUGGGUCUUGUCCAUCACAUCAUUCUCCUAAUGAUGUGAUCCCGUUAUCAAUGACAUCCAAUGUCCAUGGUCAGGAAACCGUAACCAUCUAUUAAUCAAUGAGCUAAUCAACUAGAGGCUCACUAGGGACAUGUUGUCGUCUAUGUAUUCACACAUGUAUUAUGAUUUCCGGAUAACACAAUUAUAGCAUGAACAAUAGACAAUUAUCAUGAACAAGGAAAUAUAAUAAUAAUAACCCUUUUAUUAUUGCCUCUAGGGCAUAUUUCCAACAAGUGUUGAUGAGUAUAUUGUGUUCAGUAGUAUCUAUUAAGUAAGUAGCUAGUGUUGAUGAGUAAUUUUUUUAUUACAAAAAAAUCAUUUGCUGGCAUUGGACGAGCAGGCACGCCAGAGUUAUGAUGGACUUAGUGCUGGCGUUGGACUGGUGAUAUGCCAGCACGAUGUAGGAUACUGCUGACGUGUCCUCCAACGCCCCCACUACAUUUUAGCAAUGGCGUAAUAUUAGUGGGGUCGUGUGUCUACGCCAACAAGGUUGUUUUUGGCACGUCAUAGCUAGGCUUUUUUUCUACUAGUGUUCCUUCCAUCACACUGAAUGGAUUCCCUCACACUUGUUCGUUGUUUGUUUUUCGUUCAUUCGAAUUCAAUUGCGGUCGCUGUGUUCGUUCGAUGGGUUGGCUUCCCUUGUUUUUUUGUUUUUCCCUCUCAUUUUCUUUUCUUUCUUCUCCGGUUUCCUUCCUCUCAUUUGUUUUUCUGUUGUUUUUCACUGGUUUUCAUUGUUUUAUUCAUGUUUCCCCCAUGCUUUUUUUGCCUUUUCCUUGGUUUUCUUCUCUUCCCGGUCUUCACCGUUUUUUAUUUUUCUUCAUUUUUAUUUGUCUCUUUCUCUUUUUAUUCUUCUUUUUUUCUUUCCUUUUUCAUUUUUAUUUAGUUCCUUUCGUUUUCUCUUUCUUUCUUCGUUCUUCUUGGUUUUCUUUGGAUUUCUUUCUUUCUUUCUCGAUUUUCUCUGUUUUAUUCUUUUACAUUAGUUUCUUCUAUUUUCAUUCUUUCGUUUUCUGUUUGUUUUUAUUAAUCAUUUGUUUUCUUCAUUUUUUUGUCAAUUUUCGUUGGCUUCCAUUUCGUUCAACAACUGUUAACAUUUUCAGUACCUAUUCAACAUUUUUUUAAAUACAUGAUUAAUUUUUUGAAAAUAUUUUUUCAGAUGUCUAUUUUUGGUAUAUAUCUAAUACAUUUUUAAUACAUGUUUAACAUCUCUCAAAUACAAGUUUAACAUUUGAUGAAUAUGUGGUCAACAUUUGUUCUUAUAACAUUUAACAUUUUGUUCAAAUGGUUGGUUAACAUUUUUCAAGUACAAGAUUAACAUUUAAUGAAUACAUAAUCAACAUUUUUCUAUAUACAUAUAACAUUUUUCAAAUAGAAGAUUUUUUUAAUACAUGGUCAACAUUUUUUAUAUACACAUUUAUCAUAUUUCAAAUACUUGCUUAACAUUUUUAAUUACAUGAUCAGCUUUUUUGGUUUUUGUUAAUCAUUGGUUCUCUUCAUUUUUUUUAUUAUUUGUCGAUUUUCAUCGGCUUCCUUUUUGUUCAACACGUGUUAACUUUGUCAGUACCGAUUCAACAUUUUUAUUAUGCUAUAUACAGAUUAACAUUGUUUAAAUACAUGAUUAAAUUUUUGGAAAAUAUUUUUUCAGAUGUCUAUUUUUUGGGUAUAUAUCUAAUAUAUUUUUAAUAUACAUUUAACAUCUCUCAAAUACAAGUUUUACAUUUUAUGAAUACAUGGUCAACACUUUUUCUUAUAACAUUUAGCAUUUUGUUGAAAUGGUUGGUGAACAUUUCUCAAGUACAAGAUAAAAUUUUAUAAAUACAUAAUCAACAUUUUUUCUAUACACAUUUAACAUUUUUCAAAUAGAAGAUUUUUUUAGUACAUGGUCAACAUUUUUGAUAUACACAUUUAACAUUUUUCAUAUGUUUAAUUAAUAUUUUUCAAAUACUUGUUAACAUUUCUUAAAUGCUUGAUUAACAUUUGUAUUUACAUGAUCAACUUUUUCCACGCACACUGUAUAUUAUUUGUAUACAUGAGAAACAUUUUCUCUAUACAUAUUUAACAUUUUUAAAAUGCUUGGUUAACAUUAUUUCCAUAUAUUUUGAUUAUUUAGAAGUAUACACAAUUUUUUAAAAAAGCAAAAGAACGAACAACAAAAAAUGUGAAAAAACAAGGUUGUGGCUCCCGCGCGCCUGGGCCGGUCCAUCUUGUGUUUGCCGUCACGCGAGAGUUUCCUACGUCUCGUGUGAAGCGAGACAUAGGGGCACCCAAAAGUUCAUAAGGCGAUUAAGGGAGUUUCCUAUGUCUCGUGUGAAGCGAGACAUAGAGGCACCCGAAAGCUCAUAAGGCGAUUAAGGCGCGCCAACGAGGAGCUCUCCAGGUGUACAAUGAGAGAGUAAGGGGUGGAAACGGGCCGGGCCAUCCCACUUGCCUUUAGCAUAGUUUAGCCGUAAGUGGUAGGCCCAAUGUGAGCCCCCGAGUUCUUGCGGAAUGAGACAUGCCCUGCAGUGCUACUCGUUCGGUUGCCUCCUGCACAACCUAAAAAAAAA